GAAAACCACGGUGGUACAGGAUGGGCCCGCGUCUGAUUAGUUAGUUGGCAGGGUAACGGCCUACCAAGACGAUGAUCAGUAGCCGGCUUGAGAGAGUGGACGGCCACAUUGGGACUGAGACACGGCCCAGACUCCUGCGGGAGGCAGCAGUGGGGAAUACUGCACAAUGGGGGGAACCCUGAUGCAGCAAUGCCGCGUGGGUGAAGAAGCACUCCGGUGCGUAAAGCCCUGUCAGCAGGGAAGAAAAUGACAGUACCUGACCAAGAAGCCCCGGCUAACUACGUGCCAGCAGCCGCGGUAAUACGUAGGGGGCAAGCGUUAUCCGGAUUUACUGGGUGUAAAGGGAGCGCAGGCGGUAUGGCAAGUCAGAUGUGAAAACCCAGGGCUCAACCCUGGGACUGCAUUUGAAACUGCCAUACUGGAGUGCCGGAGAGGUAAGUGGAAUUCCUAGUGUAGCGGUGAAAUGCGUAGAUAUUAGGAGGAACACCAGUGGCGAAGGCGGCUUACUGGACGGUAACUGACGCUGAGGCUCGAAAGCGUGGGGAGCAAACAGGAUUAGAUACCCUGGUAGUCCACGCUGUAAACGAUGAAUACUAGGUGUCGGGGUACAUAAGUACCUCG
Molecule: ribosomal RNA, 621 nt
Filed under: uncultured bacterium
Lineage: Bacteria
Description: bacterial SSU rRNA
Rfam family: Bacterial small subunit ribosomal RNA
Source: RNAcentral